CCUACGGGUGGCAGCAGUGGGGAAUAUUGCACAAUGGGGGAAACCCUGAUGCAGCGACGCCGCGUGAGUGAAGAAGUAUUUCGGGAUGUAAAGCUCUAGCAGCAGGGAAGAGAAUGACGGUACCUGACUAAGAAGCCCCGGCUAACUACGUGCCAGCAGCCGCGGUAAUACGUAGGGGGCAAGCGUUAUCCGGAUUUACUGGGUGUAAAGGGAGCGUAGGUGGCAGGGCAAGUCAGAUGUGAAAACCCGGGGCUCAACCCCGGGAGUGCAUUUGAAACUGUCCAGCUGGAGUGCAGGAGAGGUAAGCGGAAUUCCUCGUGUAUCGGUGCAAUGCAUAGCUAUUCGGAGGAACACCAGUGGCGCAGGCGGCUUACUGGACUGUACCUGCCACUGUGGCUCGAAAGCGUGGGGAGCAAACCGGAUUAGCUACCCGUGUAGUC
This 440-nucleotide ribosomal RNA is filed under the name uncultured bacterium. Its description in RNAcentral is "partial 16S ribosomal RNA". It matches the Rfam family "Bacterial small subunit ribosomal RNA", at positions 338 to 795 of the family's 1533-position model. The record is from RNAcentral.